AAACACAAUUGCUAGCCUCCUCUCAGAUCGCCGGAAGUGAUUCUGUCCGCCAGUUUGCAUCAGAGUAAUCUGAAGAGAACACGUCGGCAUACUCAAACAGCCCGUCGUUAAAAAUAACGUCGCCAUCACCGGCCUCAGGCCUGGCCUCAAAGUCAUAGAAGCUCGGCUGGAUCUCGUCACCAAACCCCCAGAUCUGAUCGUAACUAACCGCCUCCACCUCCCCACCACUACCGAAGUUCUCCGCCUCGCUACCAACGUCACCGGCAGGUGACGGAACGGUAGGCGGGAGGCCGAGUUCGUCGUCGGACGCUUCUAACAGAUAACCCAGAUCCGGCGGCUGGAAAUCGUCAAUAAACGCUUCCGGCUCCACCAGAUUCGGGGCUAUCUCCGCCGAUAUGGACUGUGGGAGAGAUAUCUCGUCCUCAAGACUUUGCAUGACGCCGGCGAGCUCCUCGACGGCGGAGUCCUCCGACUCAGCGUCAUCGUCAUCCUCAAGGAUGUCAAGGAGGAUAUCAG
Molecule: unclassified non-coding RNA, 516 nt
Filed under: Hevea brasiliensis (rubber tree)
Lineage: Eukaryota; Viridiplantae; Streptophyta; Magnoliopsida; Malpighiales; Euphorbiaceae
Source: RNAcentral